RNAcentral lists this ribosomal RNA (549 nucleotides) under Streptosporangium sp. 303B09. RNAcentral's name for it is "bacterial SSU rRNA". It matches the Rfam family "Bacterial small subunit ribosomal RNA", at positions 93 to 659 of the family's 1533-position model. The record is from RNAcentral. Lineage: Bacteria; Bacillati; Actinomycetota; Actinomycetes; Streptosporangiales; Streptosporangiaceae.
GAGCGGCGAACGGGUGAGUAACACGUGAGUANCCUGCCCCUGACUCUGCGAUAAGCCCGGGAAACUGGGUCUAAUACCGGAUAUGACCGCUUCCCGCAUGGGAUGGCGGUGGAAAGUUUUUUCGGUUGGGGAUGGACUCGCGGCCUAUCAGCUUGUUGGUGGGGUAACGGCCUACCAAGGCGACGACGGGUAGCCGGCCUGAGAGGGCGACCGGCCACACUGGGACUGAGACACGGCCCAGACUCCUACGGGAGGCAGCAGUGGGGAAUAUUGCGCAAUGGGCGAAAGCCUGACGCAGCGACGCCGCGUGGGGGAUGACGGCCUUCGGGUUGUAAACCUCUUUCAGCAGGGACGAAGUUGACGUGUACCUGCAGAAGAAGCGCCGGCUAACUACGUGCCAGCAGCCGCGGUAAUACGUAGGGCGCAAGCGUUGUCCGGAAUUAUUGGGCGUAAAGAGCUCGUAGGUGGCUUGUCACGUCGGGUGUGAAAGCUUGGGGCUUAACUCCAGGUCUGCAUUCGAUACGGGCUGGCUAGAGGUAGGUAGGGGAG